This 252-nucleotide ribosomal RNA is filed under the name uncultured bacterium. RNAcentral describes it as "partial 16S ribosomal RNA". It matches the Rfam family "Bacterial small subunit ribosomal RNA", at positions 524 to 775 of the family's 1533-position model. The record is from RNAcentral.
UACGUAGGGACCAAGCGUUGUUCGGAGUUACUGGGCGUAAAGGGUGCGUAGGCGGCGUGUUAAGUCAGCUGUGAAAUCUCCGAGCUUAACUCGGAACGGUCAGCUGAUACUGAUGUGCUAGAGUGCGGAAGGGGCAAUCGGAAUUCUUGGUGUAGCGGUGAAAUGCGUAGAUAUCAAGAGGAACACCUGAGGUGAAGACGGGUUGCUGGGCUGACACUGACGCUGAGGCGCGAAAGCUAGGGUAGCAAACGG